Non-coding RNA from Oncorhynchus mykiss (rainbow trout), 581 nucleotides. The record is from RefSeq and is a predicted model, not a curated record. Lineage: Eukaryota; Metazoa; Chordata; Actinopteri; Salmoniformes; Salmonidae.
UGUUCCUCUAAUAACGGACAAUUUGUGUGUAUUUACAGAUCACAUUGUACAGGUCUAGUACAUCUAUUUCCAAUGGAGGAGACUAGCUAGGAUUAUGUGGCUUGUGGUGGGCUUUCGUACUGAGGUAUAAAAAUAACACUGAGAAAUGAAAAAUAGGUUAGAAUGACAGGAGAAUACUACGUGCUAUAGUUUGGUGACACGCUAAAGGAAUAUAGGUUAGAAUGACAGGAGAAUACUACGUGCUAUAGUUUGGUGACACGCUAAAGGAAUAAAGGUUAGAAUGACAGGAGAAUACUACGUGCUAUAGUUUGGUGACACGCUAAAGGAAUAUAGGUUAGAAUGACAGGAGAAUACUACGUGCUAUAGUUUGGUGACACGCUAAAGGAAUAAAGGUUAGAAUGACAGGAGAAUACUACGUGCUAUAGUUUGGUGACACGCUAAAGGAAUAUAGGUUAGAAUGACAGGAGAAUACUACGUGCUAUAGUUUGGUGACACGCUAAAGGAAUAUAGGUUAGAAUGACAGGAGAAUACUACGUGCUAUAGUUUGGUGACACGCUAAAGGAAUAUAGGUUAGAAUGACA